Long non-coding RNA from Haliotis rubra (blacklip abalone), 852 nucleotides. RefSeq lists it as uncharacterized. Lineage: Eukaryota; Metazoa; Mollusca; Gastropoda; Lepetellida; Haliotidae. The transcript has 3 exons. The record is from RefSeq and is a predicted model, not a curated record.
UUCAGUUAAAUCACAGGGCUUCAGAAUGUCCAAAUUCAGCCUACAUCUACAUAUCACAGAAUCGCAAACAAAAUUAUAGAAGGGUCAACUUUCUUAAACAUGAAAGAACAGUUUUAUUUGCCAUCUUCAAAGUUAUUGUCUGAUUUGGGGAUCAAAAUGAAGGUAGUGAAAAGGUCCAUACACAAUCGAGUGUUUUAAAUAAAACUGUUUUUCGGAUAAAGUGUUGUGGGAAACAACAUAUGAGCUUGCUCCCUUUUUACUAAUUGGUAGGGCUGGCUAAAAGAUUGAUAAUCAGAAAACUAUUGGAUGGAAGUCAUUAGUAAUGAUUAUUGAUAUGAAAAUUGUGUCAUAGUUAAUGUGGCAGUGUCAUAUUUUACAUUUUAUUUAUUUAUUUGUGUAAAUACGGUAUCAUUUUUAAACAGUUUGGUUGUGGUAGUUUUAUUGGAUUAGGUUUUUAUUAGAGUAUGUUUGGUAUUUGUCUCCAGCUUGAUUACCCCAAGCUGGACCUGGGCUCCUAUUGUAGUAUUGUGGGAGAGCAGGGUGUUCUAUUGUUCUUAACUCAGAGGGCAAGCUAUUCCUUGAUCUCUGAUUGGUCAGUUUGAAGUUGUAUCUUUUCUUCUUUACUAACAUCAGCACAUUUUAGUCAGUUUACCACAUACAGCUGCACAAGAAAGGCACCUCAAACAUAUGACGUGACAAUUUGACAGACGUCUGAUUUCCGCUCCUUUUUCGUCUACAACUUCUCUCUGUUCAAGAUGGACAUGCUGUUUCACUAAGGUGGACAAUGUAAUAUCACCUGAGUACCAUAUAUUUGGGUGAAAACAAAACAAACCAUAUAUUUGAGAAAUAAAG